GUUUCAGUUGUACAAGGAACUGUUUAGACAGAGGAAGCGAGUGCAAGAGAAGAAGGGAUUGAUUUUUUUUCCCCAAUCUCAGAUGGAAGAGACUGUCUCCCUUCCAUCCGGGAAAACAUUACUGUGCUCCCAAGUGACACUGAAGACAUUUUUAAAGGUGAGAUUGUGGAUAGAGGCGGCCAUUGUUGCUUUCAGCUUCUUAUUUCUGAGUGCGAUUGAAGUGAAGUCGGUGCGUUUGUUAGUACAUGCACAUAGGCUUGGGGAAUAGGAUUUCCAGGCCAGGAAGCUGAGAUUGGAACCCGUUAGCUGUAUGGGAGCCCAGGGUACAAGCUCUAGCUUGCUAGCACACAGCACAGAUGUUACACUUUUCAAUCUGUGGAAUAUGUAUUUGCGUUUUUUUUUCCUUAUAGCGGAUCCUCCUCUAGGAAUUUGGAGCUCGCCAAUCCCCAAGUGUUAGAACAGAGCCGCUGUGUGGUUUAGGUAGUUUUAUGUUGUUGGGCAUUCACCUUUCUCUCUACAACAAGAAACUGCCUUAAUUACAUCAGUGGGAAUCAUCACCCAGGUAGAAGAGGAAAUUCUACAAUAUCUGACUAUCCUCUGGCCUGCGCCUUUUGUGUCAAUGAUCGUCCUUAUUAAGUUCCUCUGUGUGUGCAAUUGUUGUGCCCGAUUGUGUGCGCCUCCUCCUGUAAAGCAGAUGUCCGUGCGUGUAUAUAUAUAUGUUUAUAUGUAUACAUUGCUAUUUCUGUGUUUCUAAUUAUAGUUACAAUUCUUUGCAUAAGUAGUUUUGCCUGAAUUAUAGUAUAUGUGUGUGGAUUUGUGCACACUUCAUGGCCCUUGUAUAGAUUUCUUUUUUAAUUUCCCGUGUGUAUACCUCUUGGCUUUCUGUGUUUAUACGCGUAAAUGUGCCCCAUGUGUACCAAUGCCUGCCCACAGAGUUAUAACAGUGCAUUUGUGAUUUUUUUUUUUUUUUGCUGUUGUGUGUUUACGAUUGUAAGAAUGUGUUCCAUGUGGGCGUUAAUGUAUUGCCUUUUGUUUUUGUAGAAAAAAUUCUAGCUGCAGCAUUGUGUAAAUUGCAGUAUGUGUAUUUUUUGUGUUUUAAAAAUAUAUGUGCCCGUGUGUGUAUAGAUGUGAAUCUGUGUAUAUUAUAUAAGCACUUUAGAAUGGUAUAUUUGUGUCAUUUAUUGUGUGUAUUUGCGUGUGUUGGAUGGGUGUUUCUCUGCUUGUAAAGAGCAUGAUAACUGGGUAUGUGUAUGUAUAUUGCUGCAAGUAUUUCUGCAAUUUGGAUUUUUGUUGGUGUGUGUUAAGAAUAUACUACUUUGCUUUUAUUUUGUGUUGAUAUGCGAGUUAUUGCUUUUGUGUCCGUGAACGGAUUUCUAGCUCUGUGUUUGGAUGUACAUUGUUUUACAUAUGUAUGUUAUGUGUUUAUUUGGCAGUGUUUGUUAUAAAUAUUCUGCAUGUGUGCCUGCUUCUGUGCCUGUGAAUUUAACACUAGCUGUUUGUUUGUAGGCAUGUAGUUUUGUGUUUGUGUAUUUGUAGAUGGAUGUUUGUGUGUGUAUGUGUGUGUGCGUGUGUGUGGAUAUGUAUGUGUGUGUGUGCCUUCAUCUCUGUGCCGGAACUCAUUUCUACCCAUGUCUCUUGCUUUAUGUAUUUUUUUUAAUGGAGUGUAUAUAAAUUUGUUAUGAGCAUGUGACACAGGGUGUGAGUCGGUUUGGCUUAAUGUGAUGUUUUAGUGUGUGUGUUGCUCAAGGCUGAUGUUUAGAUGGCAGCUUUUGUAAAGGGGUGCAUUUAUUUCUGUAACCAAAUUGUAUUUAUACUAAACAGAGAUAACAAAAUCAAUACUAAUUUUUGUAUGAAUAAGAAAUGUUGCUGCUUCCAGUAAGUAUUCAAGGUCAGAUGGGCAAUGGCCCUUUAAUGUUGUUUUGGAUCUUUAAAGUGCUCUUGCUCAGGGAUUGCUCACAGCAACAAAAACUACAAAUAAUGAUUAGAUUUAAUUGUAUACCAUUAUUGUUAUUAUUGUUGUGUGUAUGCACUAAUAGUGGGAAUUCAUAAAGAUAAAGGUGUUUCCCCCAAGACGUGGACGAGACUGGAUGUAAUGGCUUCCUGCUUGCAAGGCCUCGGUUACGAUCAUUAUUACAAUGUGCCCAUAGUCUGACAUUCCACAAAUACACCACCAACAGCGACGGGGGCUGCAGGGACAGGCAGGCUGCUGAACAAAUAAGCCACAUAUAAACUGCAGCAGCAGCAGUUCAGCCUCUCCAGCUUAGCAAAGCGACCCACAAAGCUUUACUUGACAAAGCCUGCGGCACUGGAAUGGCCCAACUGAUAUUAUAUUUGUGGGUUCACUAUCAUGUCACAUUCAGCUAUCAAAUUCCAGGUCACCGAUUGUACGAUUUUAUCGUGUUGUUUUUGUCUGGAAGAAAGAAAAAAAUCUUCACACGCACUCCAAUAAAAGAUUAUUUACCGUAUUAAAUGAACCUUUCUGUGUCCAAAAUGUAUCUGGUUUCAUGUAAAGCUAAUGAAUAUUUGAUGAAACGAUGCUAUAUAUAUGGCAAUUAGUACACAAAGCACUUUAAGUACACAGUACAUUUCCCAGUGACAUAGACAAAAAUACAGACAAAUCCUAUCCCUGUCUAUCUAUGUGAUUAUAAAUCAUCUAUGUAUCUUACUAGAUAUCUCUCCAUCUGUAUGUCCACGUACAUUUGUGCGCCCUCCUCUAUUUUACAAUGAGACAUAUCCCUUCUUUUCUUACUAAAUGCUCAAAAUCCUAUGAACAUUUGCUGUUUCACAGUGAAUUAUUUUACCUUUAGGGCUUUGUAUGUCUUGGACAGAAUAAUUAUUGGUUCAGACAGCAAGAGGGGAGGUCUGAGUCCAGGAAAAUGUUUUAUGAAAUUCUUCUGAAACCUGGGUUUCGUUGAGCAAAAUAAAUUCGUUCUACAAAGUGAGAAUUGUAUACAUUUUAUAGGGGUGUGUGAAUCGGCGUGUGUGUGUGCAUUCGUGAAUUUACAAAUAUAGAAGGAUAUUACUGUGUGCUUACCUCUCAUAUUAUUGUUGUACGUGCAGUUGGUGUAUGUGUGUGCGUAUUUGUGUGUGUCAGUGUAUAUAUAUGUGUAGAAUGUAGAACUGAUCCCCAUAGGAGAGCAGAGUAUUUACAAAUAAAGAAGGAUAUUACUGUGUGUUUAUCUCUCAUAUUAUUGUUGUACGUGCAGUUGGUGUAUGUGUGUGCGUAUUUGUGUGUAUCAGUGUAUAUUUGUGUAGAAUGUACAACUGAUCCCCAUAGGAAGCAGAGUAUAGCUGAAUUCCAACUAACAAUGGACUUGAUCUGAGCCGCGCUGAGCAAUGUAACCAUCCGCCCUUGUGUUUCACUUCCCUAGGAAUCAGUGAGGCUUUUAUAAACAGCUACAAAGGCCAAAUAAACCCUGCGUCUGCCUGCGCGCGUUUUACCAAAUAAUAAAUAAUGUUUCCAAAGCAUAGAUAAAAAAUACAUUUAUUAGGAGGCUCAUUAGCAAUGGGGUCUCAGCUCCUUACCAUGCGCAAUGGCUUCCCCAAGCCGGACUGCAAUAGGUUUGCAUUUUCCCUCUGGAAACCAAACUUUUAUGGCCCCAGUUUUAUGGCAACGGUUAAUUUUACGGUAUCGGCUUACUCCUCUAACGGAACUGCUCCCUCUACAAUAUUAUUCCAAUACAAUACAGACCAUGAUAUCCCACACCCCCACAACUGUCCCAUAGAGCUGCAAGUAUGAGUUGAAUAACUUCAUACAAAAACCUGCAGUUGCACAGCUGCGAUCUUAUUGGGAAAACACUUGGAAUUGCAUUCGAUUUAAGGUGAUCGUUUGCUUUCUUCUGCUUUGUACGAAUUGGUUGCAGAAGAAUUAUACAAGAGCUCUUUCUGUGUUCCCAUGUCUUCCUAUAGAGAAUGGGAUAUAAAUAGGCAGAUAAGCACAUGCACUAUUUAGUAAAUGCCAUCUAUCUUUAUGUAUAUUUAUAUAUACACAUUCAUUUAGUGAAUGUGGGUAUGUGCCAAGCAAAACCGCUUGUAACACAUGAUUGAGCAAAGGUACAUGGUGUGUAUAUAUAUACACUCACACACACACACACACACACACACACACAGCCAGACACACUGUGCAGCUCUGCAUUGCCCUGUAUACUCCCUGCCAUGACAGGCUGGCAUCUGGUGAGGGCAGUAACUUUAGAAGAACAAUAUAACCCAGUGCAUCCAAUCUAUGCAAAGCGAAUGUGUUACUAGAUCUGUCCCUAACUCUCAUGGAAAUGUAACAUUUAAUGACUUAUAUGUCAGGCUCAGCCCUGUGUGCCAUGUGCAACUUUCCCAUCAAAUACAGGAUGGAUUUCAGAAUGAAUUUCUAGCAAGGAGGUGCGUAGAAAAUGCCUCCAUCCUACUGUGUGAUUAAUAAUGAUGUAAAAUAGUCCCAGGAAUGGUAGCACUGCUAGAUCUGAUCUUAUAAUCUCAGCUGGCCACAAUUAAAGGAGACUAUACAGUAGAACCUAAAUAUCCCUUUGCAUAAAAACAUAUGGCUCUGCUAUAAAAAAUGAUGACUGCAAAACAGUGACCCAUUAAUAGCCUGCGGACUGAUUUAUACCUUAUUGUUCUGCUGCACAGUCACAUGGCCCCGGCAGCCAAUAGGAAUGAAGGCUGCCUUCAACUUAUUAGGUGACUGUACUUCUUUGUAGGACCAAGUUGUUACAUGAAAUCUGCAGUUUCAUAAUUUCAGGAGGUCCCGCUCGGCACAAUGUCGACUUCUGGGACCCUCAGCAAUUAUUAUGUGGACUCUUUUCUAAUUCACGAAGGGGACGAUGUGGUGCAGCCUAGAUUUGCCCCCGGAUCCCUGACUCAGCCACCAAGGCAGGCAGCAUCGGCCGAGCACCCCGACUUCACCCCUUGCAGCUUCCAAUCCAAAACGUCAGUGUUCAGCAGCCCCUGGAACCCAUUGCACCCCCAAACUGCUAACAAUGUGUCCAGUGUGUAUCACCCCUAUAUGCACCACCAGCCCCCCAUUUCAGCCUCUGACGGCAGGUACAUGCGCUCUUGGCUGGACCCCAUGGCUGCCGGAUCCCUGCCCUUCCCCGGCUUCCCCUCCAGCAGGAGUUAUGGCAUCAAACCUGAACCGGUGGCUCCUAGAAGGGGCGACUGCUCCACAUUCGAUUCUCGCCCCCUGCCAGUGUCGGACUAUCCGUGCGGCUCCCCCACUGACAGGGACAAGCAGAUCGGCGACCCCCCGUUUGCUGUCACCAAUGGAGAGAAUCCCAGCAACGGAGAGAAGCCGCCAAUUGAUCCAAACAACCCGGCUGCUAACUGGCUGCAUGCGAGAUCCACCAGGAAAAAACGCUGCCCCUACACCAAGCACCAAACCCUGGAGCUGGAGAAGGAGUUUUUAUUCAAUAUGUAUCUGACCAGGGACAGGAGGUACGAGGUGGCCAGACUGUUGAACCUCACAGAACGACAAGUGAAAAUCUGGUUCCAAAACAGGCGGAUGAAAAUGAAAAAAAUCAACAAGGAUCGCUCAAAAGACGAAUGAAUGAGAGGGUGACUACCUGACAAGCUCUGUGCUACUGUAUCCAGGCCUGGUGCGUCCCUCUCGCAGUCGCUCAUAUUGUCACAAUAGCAGUUGCGUCACAAUCUUGGUUUUGCCAGUGCUAUCGCAGAGGCCAUCGUAUAUCUCUUUGGAAACAUUCAGACUCCAAUUUCCUCCAUCACAUCCUUGCAAGUCAUGGAAUUCAAUUUUGCAAAGCCAGACAAAGUGGUUAAAAAGAAAGAGAGAGAGAAAGAAAGAAAAAAAGGGGGAAAAAACAAGUCAGGUCACUUUAUGCUCAAGUCGAGACAGAGGAUGUUGUUUGAAAAUUCUGUGCCACAUUGGGCAAUAAAAGAAAAUUACUGCUCUAACCAUUUAUGGAGUGCAAACCGCUGCAGGCUUUUCAGCAAACCGUACAGGACUUGCAGCCUUCCUACUUGCUUGUCUAAUUACAAAGGAAAUGUAUUUUUUGUGUGCUAAAUACGAACAAAAAACGGAUAUUUUUUGAUUAAUAAAAUGAGUUUCCAGUGAGUAGAGAAUGAUUGUAACAGCUUUCAAAAUAGUAGUUGCUGUUUGGAAAAAAAGAAAGAAAAACAAAUGGAAGAGGGGGAAGAGGACAGGAUUGUAGCUUGUUCCGGGGUCUGGGGGUUUGCAACGCCCUCUGUUGUUCCAGACAGAAAGAGACUUCAAAGAAUGGGCACUAAAAGUGUGUAAUAAAUGGCUGGUCUGCAAACUGUCUGGAAUUCGCUCCUUAAUGAUUUUAUGGCUGUCCUGCAGCAAUUAAGAUUUUCUUUACAGAAGCCUUCUUGGUUGUUUGGUCUGGCGGAUUUAGAUAAUAUACUGAGCGGAUAUCGCCAACUUUUAUUGCUCCGGGACUCUGCAAUCCCAAUCUUUCUCGUGUAUAUUUGUGAAUUCAAUUUUAAUAUGCCUUGUGGAUGUUUCCAUAUAUGUCCAAAGUUACUUAAUAUACUUAAUUUUUACUGACUGUCAGAGGCGUAGUCACUGGAAGCAUAUUUUUUUUAUGUCUUGUAACAUUUAUUUUUGAACACCAGAUGGCAGUAUUACCUCAUUAAAGGCAGAUAUAUCCGAGGGAUAUAACAGCUAACUGUUUAGUAAAUAAAAGAAAGGCCUGCUAAAUAUGUUGAUACAUUUUCGGCUUUUAAUAAAAGUAGCUCACAGAAAACCCAAUCAACUAAUGUAUAUCUUCAUGUACACAUGAUUAUAUACACAUAUAUAUAUAUAUAUAUAUUUACAUCUACACACACACAUAUAUAUAUAUAUAUAUAUAUAAACACACAGACACACUCACUAAAAUGUGUAUUUUUUUUUAAUUUUUAAAUACAUAAAAUGAAUGAACAUGGAAAUACAACUUCACCUACAUGAAUCUGGUGCGUUUAAUGAGCCGAUUAGUUUAGACUUUCUUUAGUUCUUAGUUCCAGCUAGAGUUACCCUUGUAUAUAAGUGGAUAUAAUGCAGAGACCUAUUUGUAUUUCUUUCUAUUUCUUUUAUAACUCAUUCUGCUCAGCAAAAGCCUAAAUGAAACAACACCAGUCAACAGUCACUUGGUGAUUAACAUAUUUAUGUACAAAUGUGUAGAGAGAUGACGCAUUUAAUGUAUACUAUUUAAUAACUGUGCGCAAUAAUCUGCUUUCUUAAUGAGAUUUUCCUAGAAGUAAAUAUAUUUGGCCACACCCACUCACCUCCGCUUGGCUUCACAACCACUCCCAUGUUUAGGUAUUUUUUUUUUUUAUUCUUAUAUUUUUUAACACGUUAUAUAAUAUAUUGACACUUGAAAUUUUAUGUGUGCCCCAGAUUAGAUAAAAAACGAUAAAGAAUAUAUUAAUAAGUGAUAUUAAUAAAUGUUAUAAAAGCUAUUUUUUCAUUUUUUUCAAUAAUGUAUAGUAUUAUUUCAUGGGGAAAAAAAUGCUUACCAAUCGGUUGUACAAGCACUGGAAGACAGGUAAAUGUGCAAAUAAACGCAAAUAUACUUUUUCUUUUUAUAAUUCUACUUUUGUCCUUGUAAUAAAUUUUUAUUUUUACACUUGGCAAUAAAUAAUGUUUAUAGACACGCUAGAUAUAGUACAUAUAACGGCUGAUGUAUCCAAACACACAACACAUUUUCUUAUAUAUAUACUAACAUACAAUUGUGUGUGGUCUGUGCGUGUAUCUGUGUGUUCAGUGUAGUGUAGGUUAGUGGGGGAUUUGCUAUUGUGUUUUAGCUUAAUUGUAUAAAUAUUUAUUUCUGUAUACAAACACCUCAUUUUUGCAGUUAGUCUGCUCAGUGCCAGAAUUUUUUAUCUGGGAAUAUUUACUCCUUUUCCAGUGAAAUACACCAGACAUUGCUAAAGGUGUAUUGUUGUGUCUUCUCAUUUACACAAAUAUUUUCUUUAAAAGACAGCAUGUAGAAAGAAAAUGGGGGAUGUUUUGGGCAGAAUUUUAUGACUAUACAACCGUGCAAACAUGCUGAAAGUGCCGAGUUUGUCUCAUGGGAAGCCCUUUGUACAACAGAUGAACUAUCUGUAUAAUUAAAGGUAGAAUUUCCGGAGCUAUUUCCAUUGAAGUUUAUGGUGUGCAAUAUACUGGGGUUGUAAAACUCAGUUUAGCACAGUCUUUGCUCUAGAAGGAGACAGUUCAUUUUACCAGGAGUUUGGACAGGGAUGUGGGUAACAGAGAAAAUAAAAAUAAUCUGUGAUUUUGAUGCCGAAAUGUUUUGUUGGGCCGCUCCCACGACUCCGUUUUGCUUAUUAAAAAAAA
RNA transcript from Xenopus tropicalis (tropical clawed frog), 8281 nucleotides. It is a transcript of the gene named homeobox A9, with no coding region annotated. The transcript is spliced from 3 exons. Lineage: Eukaryota; Metazoa; Chordata; Amphibia; Anura; Pipidae. The record is from RefSeq and is a predicted model, not a curated record.